AACGAACGCUGGCGGCAUGCCUAACACAUGCAAGUCUAACGAAGGCUUCGGCCUUAGUGGCGCACGGGUUCGUAACGCGUGGUAAUCUGCCCUUUGGUUCGGAAUAGCAGCUGUAAACGACUGCUAAUACCGGAUGAUUACUACAGUCCAAAGAUUUAUCGCCAGAGGAUGAGCCCAGGUUUGAUUACGCUGUUGGUAUGGUAAAGGCCUACCAAGCCGACGUUCCAUAGCCGGUCUGGGAGCAUGAUCAGCCACACUGGGCCUGAGACGCGGCCCAGACUACUACAGGAGGCAGCAGUGGCGAAUAAUAGACAAUAGCGGCAAGGAUGCUCAAGCAAUGCUCAGUAAGUGAUGUAGGGCUUAGGGUUGUAAAGCUCUUUUACCCGGGAAGAUAAUGACUGUACCGGGAGAAUAAGCCACGGCUAACUCCGUG
This 433-nucleotide ribosomal RNA is filed under the name uncultured bacterium. Its description in RNAcentral is "partial 16S ribosomal RNA". It matches the Rfam family "Bacterial small subunit ribosomal RNA", at positions 29 to 507 of the family's 1533-position model. The record is from RNAcentral.